CCUACGGGAGGCAGCAGUAGGGAAUCUUCCACAAUGGGCGCAAGCCUGAUGGAGCAACGCCGCGUGAGUGAAGACGGCCUUCGGGUUGUAAAGCUCUGUCUGUCGGGACGAAGACCGGCCCGGAAGGGCCGGGGAGCCGGUACCGACGGAGGAAGCCCCUGCAAACUACGUGCCAGCAGCCGCGGUAAGACGUAGGGGGCAAGCGUUGUCCGGAAUUACUGGGCGUAAAGGGCGUGUAGGCGGUGCGAUACGUAGCGGUUUUAAGCCUCCGGCUCACCCGGAGGAGGGCGGCUAAACGGUCGCGCUAGAGGGCAGGAGAGGUGCGUGGAAUUCCUGGUGGAGCGGUGAAAUGCGUAGAGAUCAGGAAGAACACCCGUGGCGAAGGCGGCGCACUGGCCUGGCCCUGACGCUGAGGCGCGACAGCGUGGGGAGCGAACGGGAUUAGAUACCCCGGUAGUCCACGCCGUAAACGAUGGGUACUAGGUGUCGCCCGGGUCCACCGGGCGGUGCCGGAGCUAACGCACUAAGUACCCCGCCUGGGGAGUACGGCCGCAAGGUUGAAACUCAAAGGAAUUGACGGGG
RNAcentral lists this ribosomal RNA (582 nucleotides) under uncultured bacterium. Its description in RNAcentral is "bacterial SSU rRNA". It matches the Rfam family "Bacterial small subunit ribosomal RNA", at positions 338 to 918 of the family's 1533-position model. The record is from RNAcentral.